UUUCCGUCUAGAGGGCCGAGACGGCGUCCGUAAAUCGCGGGAUCAGAUUACGAGUAUCGUAACAAGAAACCGAAGACCUUUAAUUUUCGGAUCGCGGAUCGGAGGUCGUUCGGUGGUCGCGCGUGAAUUGGGUCAAGCCGAGCGGCGUGCGCCGCGGAAGGCCGAUUGCGAGUGACAACGAGCAAUCGGAACGCUAUAAAAGGUGGGUAGUGU
RNAcentral lists this long non-coding RNA (213 nucleotides) under Ananas comosus (pineapple). Its description in RNAcentral is "long non-coding RNA (ACOM_LNC036272)". Lineage: Eukaryota; Viridiplantae; Streptophyta; Magnoliopsida; Poales; Bromeliaceae. The record is from RNAcentral.